GAUGAACGCUGGCGGCGUGCCUAAUACAUGCAAGUCGAGCGAACGGACGAGAAGCUUGCUUCGCUGAUGUUAGCGGCGGACGGGUGAGUAACACGUGGAUAACCUACCUAGAAGACUGGGAUAACUUCGGGAAACCUGAGCUAAUACCGGAUAAUAUUUUGAACCGCAUGGUUCAAAAGUGAAAGACGGUCUUGCUGUCACUUAUACAUGGAUCCGCGCUGCAUUAGCUAGUUGGUAAGGUAACGGCUUACCAAGGCAACGAUGCAUAGCCGACCUGAGAGGGUGAUCGGCCACACUGGAACUGAGACACGGUCCAGACUCCUACGGGAGGCAGCAGUAGGGAAUAUUCCGCAAUGGGCGAAAGCCUGACGGAGCAACGCCGCGUGAGUGAUGAAGGUCUUCGGAUCGUAAAACUCUGUUAUUAGGGAAGAACAUAUGUGUAAGUAACUGUGCACAUCUUGACGGUACCUACUCAGAAAGCCACGGCUAACUACGUG
This 497-nucleotide ribosomal RNA is filed under the name uncultured bacterium. RNAcentral describes it as "partial 16S ribosomal RNA". It matches the Rfam family "Bacterial small subunit ribosomal RNA", at positions 28 to 507 of the family's 1533-position model. The record is from RNAcentral.